GAGUAUUCUGGCCCCACCGAGGUGGGCCAGACUAGAGAUCGAAGUGAGCAUGGACGCUGCCAGGACGUAUUUAACUUGCCGAGGUAAAAAUGUUAAAAUAUAAAAUGCUAAAUUAUACUUCCUUCGUUUCCAAAUAUAAGAUAUUUAAUAUAUUUUUAUGUUUCAAUAUAUAAAAUAUUCUAUAUUUUAAAGUAAUUUUUCACUUUAUUAAAAUAUGUGUAGAAAAUCAUAUUUAAUAGUCUAUUUUGUGAUUGAUCAAAUUAUUUUAAAUUUUAGUUAUAUUUUUUUGAUAAAAUGUAAUUUUUAAUAUUCAUGUUUUUAUGUAAAAAAUCUAAUAUAUAUUUAGAAAAGAAGAGAGUAGUUAAUUAAUAUAUAUACUUAGAAAAACAAUAAAGCAAAGAAAAUAAAAGCGAAGUGUUUGACAAAAAAAAAGAGCAGGACAAAACUUAGGUUCACCCCCUAGGGUGAACCUUUAAAUUCACCCCACCAUUUAUAACCAAUUAAAUUUCCACUUAGAUUAUUAAUUAAAAAACAUUAAAAUAAACAAAAAAUAGUUACAAAAAAUAAAAAUGUUAAUUUUAACGACGCUAACGCUUCCAGCGAAUCCCUAAACCCUAAAUUUUAAAUUCUAAACUCUAUACCCUAAAUUCUAAACCCAAAUUCAAACUCCUAAACCCAAACCUUAUACCCUAAACCCUAAUCCUAGACCCUAAACCCUAAUCCUAGACCCUAAACCCAAACUCUAUACCCUAAACCCUAAUUCUAGACUCUAAACCCAAAUUAUAUACCUUAAACCCAAAAAUAGACUAUAAACCUAAACCCUAUACCCUAAA
This 833-nucleotide long non-coding RNA is filed under the name Brassica rapa (field mustard). RNAcentral describes it as "long non-coding RNA (BRAP_LNC000096)". The record is from RNAcentral. Lineage: Eukaryota; Viridiplantae; Streptophyta; Magnoliopsida; Brassicales; Brassicaceae.